AUAACUCGCUGUGAGGCUUACAGUGAAUGUGAUUACUUCCACAGUCCCUGUUUCUUGUGACAAUGACAUCAAGAAAUUCACCUGCUGCCUUUCGGACACCGUCAUGAUCCUAAGUACCAACCUUCCCCGUGGGCUGCGGGUGGCCCCCAUGGAGCAGCAACGUCACGCUCACCGCGCUGCCGUACUUCCAUUACACGUCUGCAAGCGAAAUCAAACCUGGGGGAUUUCUUCCUAGCGCUCCAGCCCUGCAGCCACACCGCAGAAUACAAAUGCCGGGCUGACGCACGCGCUUGGCGCUCGGCUCGCCGCCCCAGGGACCGUCAGCGGGCUGCAAGCCUUGAAGGGCUUGAGGCUCGUUAACACCAGGCUUUAAAUAACCGCGGUGCUGGGGGAGCGGGUGCUGCGUGUCCCUGCGGCGUGUAUUUAUGUGUGUGAGCGCGUUUGGUUUGACAACAGGAGUGAAAGAGCACUUGUUCCUUUGCUUCUCAGGUAGCAGCCCUAUGGAAAAGCAUCAAGGUGGGAAUAGGAAAGAGCUUUGUGUUGUUUGGGGUUUGCUUUAUUUUGGUUUGGUUUUGUUGUUGUUUGUUUUGUUGUUCUUUUUUCCCAUUUCUCAGAGAUUUUGGACUGAUUAAAAAGCUAUUUUUGCCAGAAAAACAAGAAAAAAAUAUCCAGCUAUACGUGGCAGGGAUAAAAGCACGCUUGACUCCUCCAAUGAGUACAAUAGCAUUUUAUAUCUUUGCUGCUUGGCCCAAUAUUGUAUCACAGGCAUCACCAGCGUUGUGCUUCCCAGCAUGCUCUAGCAUCCUUUCAAACAAGCAUUUGCUGUAGCAGAAAGUCCAAGAAAAGGCUUACUCCCUCGAGGAUCAAGAAGAAAGCAACAGUGAAGAAAGGACCGGUGGCAGCACGGAGAAUACGGAAAGCAGAUAAAGAGGAAAAUGAGGAGGUGGAGGUGAGCAGAAGGCAGCUCAGAAAAUUGCACAAGCUGUGGGGAAUUUUUGCAUCUAGCCGCUCGCACACCGCAAAGGGAGCGACUCUGCCAUCUGCAUCUCCUCUCAAAAAAAAAGGAAGGGAGAAGAGGGACAGAAUGGAGACAAAAAAAGAAAUCCACCUGUUGUGCCUCUUGUUUUGGCUGUGGUAGGAUGGAUCCAUGCUGAAUGCCUGCUGUGGGAGGGGAGGGAAGCCAACGGAGGUAUUGUUGUGUCUGAGGAGGCACCACGCGUGAGUCCUCUGCAUGGCUCUGUCCUACUGACACACUGGGAAGAGGAGGGAGGAACUAUUUUAAUCUCAUUGAGGCUGCUGAAGAGUAAAAAUGGAAGUAAUUAAAGGCCUGCUCUAGUCUCACUUAAAUCCCUUAGUCUUCAGGCCAGAGUUAUUUUUGUUACAUUGCUUUAAUGGUGUUGCAUUGAUGUUUAAAC
RNAcentral lists this long non-coding RNA (1415 nucleotides) under Anser brachyrhynchus (Pink-footed goose). RNAcentral's name for it is "lncRNA (ENSABRG00000004275.1)". The record is from RNAcentral. Lineage: Eukaryota; Metazoa; Chordata; Aves; Anseriformes; Anatidae.